UACUACCAAAAAGUACUGGAAUAACCGGCCGAAAGGCUGGCUAAUACUGGAUAGAGCGACGGGGUCCGUAAUCGGGCCUUUCCGGGAAAGGGAGCUCGCAAGAGCCUUCGCUUUUUGAUGAGCCUGCGUCUCAUUAGCUAGUUGGCGGGGUAAUGGCCCACCAAGGCAGUGAUGAGUAGCUGGUCUGAGAGGAUGAUCAGCCACACUGGAACUGAAACACGGUCCAG
RNAcentral lists this ribosomal RNA (227 nucleotides) under uncultured bacterium. RNAcentral's name for it is "partial 16S ribosomal RNA". It matches the Rfam family "Bacterial small subunit ribosomal RNA", at positions 124 to 334 of the family's 1533-position model. The record is from RNAcentral.